This 68-nucleotide transfer RNA is filed under the name Marmota monax (woodchuck). RNAcentral's name for it is "tRNA.Ser". The record is from RNAcentral. Lineage: Eukaryota; Metazoa; Chordata; Mammalia; Rodentia; Sciuridae.
GUUGUAGCUCAGUGGUAAAGUGCUUGCCUAGAAUGUGCAAGUCCCUGGGUUUGAUCCUCAGCAUAACA